Molecule: long non-coding RNA, 2464 nt
Organism: Drosophila elegans
Lineage: Eukaryota; Metazoa; Arthropoda; Insecta; Diptera; Drosophilidae
Exons: 3
Source: RefSeq, a predicted model, not a curated record
CAUUUCCGCAAGCGAUGUCGUCGUCCUGAACACGGGACCUUCACUCAGCGGGUGGGCGGGAAGGUGUGUGUACCGCCCCCGCCCACUUGCCACCCACUUACCACCCACCAUCCACCCGCAAAGUCGUGUUUGUGGCCGCAGAGCUGUGUUUACAGCCCAUUAUUGUAAGGGGCGGCUCCAGUGUCACCAUGAUUGUUUUAGCCACCGACUAACUGUUGUGGCCGCGUAUUUAGCGCAGUUACCGGGCCAAAACGAAUCCGAAUCCACACAGCCCGUAAUUGUGAUUUGUGUUGUAAACUACGAGUGCUUUUCAGCUGCACUCGCAGUUGCAUGCCACAAUUAGCACCAUUGUAGCGGGCACUUAACGUGUUCCGCUUAUCUCGAUAUCUGCACGGACUAUGAACUACGGACUUGCAUUCACGGACCCACUGAAUAUCCUCACUCGAGCCUGACCGCCAAAACUCAAGAACGGAAGCCACCAAACCGGAAGCUUCCAUUUUGUUUCUACCCCCGAAACGAGUGUCCAAGAAUUUGUUAAAGAAGCUCAUGCAACAAAUUACUUAGUGAAAAGAAAUCUACAAGCUUGAAAAUAAAAAACAACAUUAAGUAAGUACAUUAAAAUAAUAAUUUUAUUCAAAUUUAAAUUUAUUAUUUAAAUUCAUAUGCCAGCCUAUCGAUUUUAUAACUGAUUACUAAAUACACAAUCGCAUUUGUUUGUUUGUCUACAGAGAGAAGCUUUGAUAUUUCCUGUUAGUUGUAGUUUUUUAUGGAAUGUAGUAUUUAUUAUUAUUUUUUUUUAGGCCCAAGAAUUUAGUUUAUUUUUAUUUAGAACUUAUUUUUCUCAGUAAGGAACGAAUUGUUAGCACUUUCUGUCGGCUUGACCGACCUGCUAAUGUGAACCAUAAAUGUGUGAAAGUCGAGCAACUGCCACGCCCAGUCUUGAUGGGCCAUAUCUAAUGCCGCCCCCGCUUUUCUGUAUGAUUUUUUUUUUUUUUUGUUAUUUUGUGGUGUUUUUGCUGCUAGGCGGAAAUGUCGUAAAUCAUAUUCCAGCAUUUACAUACAUUUUACGAGUUGAAGAGCCGCCCGAGGGCAGGCAAAGCCAAUGCGAAAGCAAAAGCCACUCCCCUGCCAACUUGGCUUUUUUUUUUUUUGGUUUCGUGGGGGGUUUCCCCAGCUCAGUUCGCCCGCUGGCCGAGCUUCUAAGUGUGGAUUUUAUGUAUUUGUUUAUGGGAAAAUUAGGGAAAUGGCUUUUACUCAGUUUUUCGGACCGCGGAGAGCGAAAGAGAGAGCGAGAGCUUAGGUGCCAAAGGUUACAAUUAUGAAGUUUACACACCAUUUGCCAUGGGGUGGCUUGGCUUUCAAUUAGUUGGCUACGGACAUGUAGGAACAGCAAUUCAUUAUCAACACCUUUGUUACAGCAAAUUAAGCCUCAAGGUCCAAAAUUAAUAAAAUGCAAAUUAGCCAGCAACUAAAAAGCAACCCCAAAAAAAUGAAAGAAAAACAAAAAAAACGAGACAAGAAACCUAUAACUUUGAUCUUAUCGCCAGCUGACAACACUCCCCCAGUUGACUAUCUUUUAUUAGUUGAUUAAUUCAUAACUCAGCCCGUGCACCUUUCCUCCAAAAAGGGGAUUAACUUGUUUCAAUGCCUUGCCGACCAUUUCAGCUGCCCCGAAAUAUUAAUGAAGUUGUGGAAAAUGUUGUUUAACGGAAAAAGAGAGCGAAAUAUCUUGGCCUGCAAGGGGUUGCACCAUGAAAAUUGCAAUUGCCACGCAUCCUCUGAAGUCAGGCUACUGUCCUUCCAAUAUCCUGCGGCGGCCGAGAACUCAAACACGGCUAAUAUGCGUGAAGCGUUUGUCGCAAAAUAUUGACAAACUCCGGGUAUUUUCGAGGGGUCAACAAACAAUUAGCCCGCCUGCCCGACUGCUGAUUUUUGCCUCUUUUGUCUUUCGAAAAUGCCAACCUCAAAACCGCUGACAGCGUGACAAAAUCGCAAACCACGUGAUAUUUUAUUUCAACAACCGCACGCACAAAGAAAACCAUCCCAACCUGACCACGUAACAGUCUUCGUUUCCCACUUUUUCAAGUUUCAAAUGUGUUGGCAAUUUGCGGCAGUUUCUGGCUGUUUUUCACGGUUUCCUUCUGAUGACAGCCACGCAUGCGCAUUUGCAUGUGGAGUCGACAUUUUCACAGCUGCCGAGGAGAAUUGCCUUUCGAAUGGGUAAAAAAGGCGAAAAUGGGUAUGUGUGAUGGAAAGAAAAAUAGCCAGUUACUACAGCUUACUGUAAAAAAAGCAUAUUAAUAAGGUAACUCAAUUGAUUUAAAAUUUUUAGGGGGUUAAAGAUGGAUUCGAGAAUUUUGUUUAAGUUUUUUCAGCUUAUAAAGAAGAACCUUUAAAUUAUUCUGUUAUAUUAAUUUGUAAAAUAUUUAAAAAAAAUUUGUAAAUUGAAAACUUGAUAGCAAAU